CUCCUACGGGAGUCAGCAGUAGGGAAUCUUCCGCAAUGGGCGCAAGCCUGACGGAGCAACGCCGCGUGAGUGAGGAAGGCCUUCGGGUUGUAAAACUCAGUCACCUGGGAAGAGAGGUAUGGGGAGUGGAAUGCCCCAUACGAGACGGUACCAGGGGAGGAAGCCCCGGCUAACUACGUGCCAGCAGCCGCGGUAAUACGUAGGGGGCAAGCGUUGUCCGGAAUCACUGGGCGUAAAGCGUGCGUAGGCGGUCUUUCAAGUCCGGGGUGAAAACUCAAGGCUCAACCUUGAGAAUGCCUUGGAAACUGGGGGACUUGAGUACUGGAGAGGCAAGGGGAAUUCCACGUGUAGCGGUGAAAUGCGUAGAGAUGUGGAGGAAUACCAGUGGCGAAGGCGCCUUGCUGGACAGUGACUGACGCUGAGGCACGAAAGCGUGGGGAGCAAACAGGAUUAGAUACCCUGGUAGUCCACGCCGUAAACGAUGAGUGCUAGGUGUUGGGGGUUCAUCCCCUCAGCGCCGAAGGAAACCCAAUAAGCACUCCGCCUGGGGAGUACGGUCGCAAGACUGAAACUCAAAGGAAUUGACGGGGGCCCGCACAAGCAGUGGAGCAUGUGGUUUAAUUCGAAGCAACGCGAAGAACCUUACCAGGGCUUGACAUCCCUCUGACCGGUUCAGAGAUGGACCUUCCCUUCGGGGCAGAGGAGACAGGUGGUGCAUGGUUGUCGUCAACUCGUGUCGUGAGAUGUUGGGUUAAGUCCCGCAACGAGCGCAACCCUUGACCUGUGUUACCAGCACGUAAUGGUGGGGACUCACAGGUGACUGCCGGCGUAAGUCGGAGGAAGGUGGGGAUGACGUCAAAUCAUCAUGCCCUUUAUGUCCUGGGCUACACACGUGCUACAAUGGGCGGUACAACGGGAAGCGAGACCGCGAGGUGGAGCGAAACCCAAAAAGCCGUUCGUAGUUCGGAUUGCAGGCUGCAACCCGCCUGCAUGAAGCCGGAAUUGCUAGUAAUCGCGGAUCAGCAUGCCGCGGUGAAUCCGUUCCCGGGCCUUGUACACACCGCCCGU
RNAcentral lists this ribosomal RNA (1068 nucleotides) under Alicyclobacillus sp. enrichment culture clone MRT18-17. Its description in RNAcentral is "bacterial SSU rRNA". It matches the Rfam family "Bacterial small subunit ribosomal RNA", at positions 336 to 1397 of the family's 1533-position model. The record is from RNAcentral. Lineage: Bacteria; Bacillati; Bacillota; Bacilli; Caryophanales; Alicyclobacillaceae.